Molecule: transfer RNA, 85 nt
Filed under: Felis catus (domestic cat)
Lineage: Eukaryota; Metazoa; Chordata; Mammalia; Carnivora; Felidae
Rfam family: tRNA
About the family: Transfer RNA (tRNA) molecules are approximately 80 nucleotides in length. Their secondary structure includes four short double-helical elements and three loops (D, anti-codon, and T loops).
Source: Rfam by way of RNAcentral
GCCUGGGUGGCUCAGCAGGUUGAGCAGCUGACUUCGGCUCAGGUCACGAGCUCACGGUGCGUGGGUUCGAGCCCCGUGUCGGGCU